Molecule: small RNA, 723 nt
Filed under: Pongo abelii (Sumatran orangutan)
Lineage: Eukaryota; Metazoa; Chordata; Mammalia; Primates; Hominidae
Description: retained intron
Source: RNAcentral
CUCUGACAAGCGGGUGGAGCGUGGCUGCCAGCCUUCAGAGACAGAGGGAGCUGCUAAUGUACAAACGGAUCCUCCUCCGCCUGCCUUCGUCUGUCCUCUGCGGCAGCAGCUUCCAGGCAGAACAGCCCAUCACUGCCAGAUGCGAGCAGUUCUUCCACUUGGUCAACUCUGAGAUGAGAAACUUCUGCUCCCUCGGAGGUGCCCUGACACAGGACAUCACUGCCCAUUUCUUCAGGGGCCUCCUGAACGCCUGUCUGCGGAGCAGAGACCCCUCCCUGAUGGUCGACUUCAUAUUGGCCAAGUGCCAGAUGAAAUGCCCCUUAAUUUUGACCUCUGCUCUGUUGUGGUGGCCAAGCCUGGAGCCUGUGCUGCUCUGCCGGUGGAGGAGACACUGCCAGAGCCCGCUGCCCCGGGAACUGCAGAAGAUGCAAGGAGGCCGGCAGUUUGCCAGCGAGUAUGUUUGGGUGGUGAGACGGGGUGUGCCUGCCCAGAUGCACUUCGGGACCUGCUCGAGGUCAUCUCCUAAACACCCUGGCUUACUUGAGAGAAGCGGUGUGGGCAGCCUCUCGUGUGAGCAGGGAGAAAAGAACCGAGUCCUUGUGGUGUGCACCUGUUAUCCCAGCUACUGGGGAGGCUGAGGCAGGAGAAUCACUUGAACCCAGGAGACGGAGUUUCCAGUGAACCGAGAUCACUCCAAUGGCCAAUAGAGCAAGACUCUGUCCA